AUGGCCAGAGCUUUCACGUGCUGUGCAGGUGAAGUAUUCAGAUCCCUGAGGAGAGUCCUAGAAAGAUGGGGGAGGAGGAGAUGUGACGCAUAUUUUGACUUCUCUUUCCAUCCUUAGAAUCUUCCACAGAAUGAAAAAGAAAAAUGAGAAACAAGUCUACCUUUUAAAAGCUUCCGCAUAUGGGAGGAAAGCAUGUGACCCUUGACCUUCUGAGUCCCACUUACUUCACCUAAGGAUCUGUGAUCACGUCUGCAUGGAUGUCUCUCAACCCUCCAUCCUGCCCACCUCCACGACAACCUCAAUCCUACUGCCUAGGGACAAUUCCAUUCUAUUGUCCCACAGAAGUCAGCCCCAAAGCUCAGUGCUCCAAAAUGAUCUCAUCCCUCUUUCACCUCCUGGGCUUGAAGCCUGGGAAUGAUUUCAACUCUAUAUUCCCUUGGCUUAGGCACCCAGCCAAUCAGGGGCACCCCCCCUGGAUCUGGCAGGAGGUGGCCGUGGGCAUCAGUCUGACAGAUCAAGCAGAGCAAGCCUACCAGGAGCAGGCUGCUGUUGGCACAGAAGUCCACAAACCUCAGAACCGGCCUGUGUCGUAGGCCCCCAAAGGGUAUGGGGAAACAAGAUCAAGGCUGCACGAGAUUCCUGGGCCCCAGUGGGUCUCAGGCACGAGAGAGCAGGGUAGGAAGCUGAGGGCCAGAGCAGGCCCAGGAGCUGGGCUGGUGGGCGCUUGAAGAACAGCGUGUGAGCCUCUGAUUGGCUUCUUGGGAUAAAGCUUGAUUUCUGAAGCUAGGUGUGGUUACAAGUGCAUGCCUGUAAUCCCAGCAAUUUGGGAGACUGCUGCAGGAGGAUCACAAGGUCAAGGCCAGCCUUAGCAACAGCAUAAAACCUUUGAGCAACUCAGUGAGACCCCUUACCAAAAUAACAAAUGAAAUGGGCUAGGAUGUAGAUCCAGGAUAAAGUACCCCUGGGUUCAAUUCUCAGUACCAAAAACAAAACAAGAAAGCCAACUUGCUGAGGGUGGGGUAGCUGUCCGUGAGGAGGCCAGGCCUGUGUCUUCACCUGCCUACCAGGUAUCAGACCUCUCCAUUCCCCCGGAGCCUCUGGGGAGAGCCGUUGGCAGUCCCGCCCCCAGCCAGGUGGUGCACUUGACAUUUUUUUCCACGUUGGAUUUUGUUUAUUUUCAAACUCCUUUGACCCCAUGGUGAUCCUGAGAAAUGGUCAGAGCCCUGUUUGAGAAAACUGGACCAAGAGAGGUUAAACUGACCACCUGGUCACCCACACAUUACUCAAAUGGUCCAUCUGCGUCCCCAAGAGAUGGUUAGAAACCCAGAUCUCCAGCCCAUCCCUGGCCCUGGAACCAGAGUUUACAUCUCAGCGAGGGCUGGAAGAGCGGUGGGCAUGUCGCGGCUGGCCUGGGUAGGAGUCUGUGUUGUGGACCGACAGGGCUGCACCCGCUUUGGUCAGCAGGUCUAACAUGAACAUCAUGGUCACCUGUAGCUAUGAGUGGAGCUGUUGGUGGGGAGUGGAGCUGAGAGAGCUGGGACCAGGCCGGAGAAUGGGAAAGGGAACUAGGUUAAGGGGCAACUGUGAAGCUGCGCCCCGUGGCCACUGCUGUGACUCCCGGCAUUGGGUGCCCUAGAGCUGAUGACAUGGGUGGGGGACACAAUCAGGGAGGUGCUGGACCAGUCCAGGUCCAGGUGGGGCGGGACUCACCCCAGGGCUGACCUUGAGAGUGUCGAGAUGGAGGGCCAGGCUGCUGCCCUGGCCAGUUCCCACCUGGCCUGAGCCCCAGCUUGGCCCCCUCCCUGCCGCCUGGGUUUCUGUGGUUACUGGUUACAUGGCCUUAGGAACUAACCCAGGCUCCUCAAGCCCCCUCGCUGGUCAGCAUUCGUUCCUGCUGAGCUGCAAGCUGGAUGGAACCGUGAGCAGUCCCAUAGCUCUCCACCACAUGGAUUUCCACGUUCUAGAAGGAGAGGCAGCUAAUUCACAACCAAGAAAUGUGUGGUAUUUCAUUUUAUUUAUUUUAACUGACAUGCAAUGGUUAUACACACUUAUGGGGUACAGUGUGUUUCCACACGUCUGCAGUAUGUAAUGAGCAGAUUGGGUCAUGGUAUUUUCGUCUCCUUUGUUCUUGCUAUUUAAAAAUAUAUAAUAAAUCAUUGUUAACUACAGUCA
Ictidomys tridecemlineatus (thirteen-lined ground squirrel) is the source of this 2172-nucleotide long non-coding RNA. RefSeq lists it as uncharacterized. The record is from RefSeq and is a predicted model, not a curated record. NCBI's taxonomy places the organism in Eukaryota, Metazoa, Chordata, Mammalia, Rodentia, Sciuridae.